CUGAUUAGCCAAAAAAGGCAACUAAGCAGCUGUUUCAUUUUGCCCUCGGGUUCGUUAUAUAAAGAACUUUCUGUCUUCUUUAGUUGGUGCUCUGUGAUACAGGAAUUGCUUCCUACUCGGCUAAACUUCUUAAAAUCCUGCUUUAUCCUAAACUCAUAAGGACGUAAAAGAGCCAAAGAGCCAACCAAGAAAUCAGAGAGUGCCAACUUCAGGAUGUCUCUACAAAUCCCAAUAACAAUUGGGCUUGGUGUGCUAGGUGUCGUCAUGCAAUGUGUUAUAAGUAUUAUCAAGAUCCUGAGCAGCUCUGGAGAUGGCAAUAGGUAUAUGGGAACCCAGGAGACAUCCAAAAAGCAUUCAGAGAAAUUCAAGUGAAAUCAGCCAUGUAAUCAAGCAAAUUUAAAGAGCAUCUCUCACUGGGACCUGAAGAAGUCCUCUGCCUUCCGGGCUUUCAUAAACCAAGAUCUCCCUUUCCUGACAAAUAAGGAAAUAUCUCACCCACUGCUUGCACUCUGAAUCUUGUGAUUUGAUUCAGUUUGAUAAAUCAUAGUCAAUUGAAUAAAUAUGAAUUUAA
This is a long non-coding RNA of Apodemus sylvaticus (European woodmouse), 571 nucleotides long. RefSeq lists it as uncharacterized. The transcript has 3 exons. The record is from RefSeq and is a predicted model, not a curated record. NCBI's taxonomy places the organism in Eukaryota, Metazoa, Chordata, Mammalia, Rodentia, Muridae.